GAAGGUGAGAUGGGACGAGACUUCUACUAUUUCUCGUCCGGAGAAAGUUUCACCAUGGAAAAUUGAGCCUGCCCUUGCUCCUCCUGCACUGAACCCCCUUCCUAUGACUAGACCUAAGAGGCCUCGAUCAAAUAUGGUAUCUACAUCCCCCGAUUCCUCUGUUCUUACACGAGAAGGUUCAUCAAGAGUGACUGUAGACCCUUCACCAGCCAGUGCAUUUACAAGGGUCUUGCAAGGUCAAGAAU
This 245-nucleotide unclassified non-coding RNA is filed under the name Hevea brasiliensis (rubber tree). Lineage: Eukaryota; Viridiplantae; Streptophyta; Magnoliopsida; Malpighiales; Euphorbiaceae. The record is from RNAcentral.